AAUUGCUUAUUCAAUAUCUAAAAUCCGUCUUUCUGGGUCAGCCUUUAUUGCCAUUGAAUGAUUAUGACCCUGCUUCGUUUAUUUGUCAUUUAAUAUGAAUUUUUCUUAGGUUCUUCCAUUUCCGCUCUAGAUUUUGUGUCCUUAUUCUCAACUAAUAUAUGCACCCUUUUGAACUGGAUUGGUAUUUGAAUGGCUAAUAUUCUGGGUCUUCAUGACAACGCUUUUGGAGUGUGUCCUCUCAAUUUCAAGCUUCCUGGUCUAUCUUUUAUCAUCAGAUUUCUCUGCUAUUUAUUGUAUUUCUUCUCUGUUAUAGCACUCUGGAUUAACAUCUGAGCUUAUCUUGCUAACUGAUCUCAAAUACUCAUUUAUGCAUAAUUUAGGUUUCCCUUGCCUAGGCGUGUUGCUACAAAAGUUGGAGAAUCCAGCACUACGUGCCUGCUUGAAAGUGCCAUCUAAUGAGGUUAAUCUCUUUUAAAUCUACCUGUUGCAGCAAUAGUAUUUUGUUGGCUGUUUCGUAGGGAUGCUUGCAGAAAUUUGUUAUUAACUGUGCAAUUAGAAUUGUUUGUUAUCACCCGUCAUUCAUGCCUCUUGCUUAUAUGAGGAGUCCUUUUAGUUCUUUUGUUAGAGUUUGAAGUGGGAGGUUAUGCAAUUGUGGGAUGCUGGAAUUGGCAAGUGUGCAACAACGUGUAGAGUUGAACUUUUGUGGGUGCGUGAAAUAUGGCAGUGAUGUGGUUGCUAGAAGAUGGAUGGGGGUGCAAAUGAAGUUCAUAGUUCUGUUGGGGAUGAUUUGGGAGGUUCUCUUAAGGAGGAUGGAUUAGAGAUUUGUGAUCCAUAAUGAAUUGAUGAGCAGUGGGUAGUUGUAUACUUGAACGUGCUUAAUGCUAGUAUUUCUGAGGGUGUCCUGGUGAGAAGAGUUGAAGCCACUUCUGAUGCUAGCAAUGUCUUGAAAGAGAUUUGCAGAGCUUGGUAUUAUUAUUAUUAUUAUUAUUAGAGCAGGAGCAGGAGCUUCAAGCAGUUCUCAAUCCACGUACGUACGUGUGCCAUUUGGUCCCUUAUCACAUCGAUCCAAGGAGGUCAGUCAGCCUUCCUAUUUAAUCGUUGCUGGUUUGGUGUUUACACCACUGUCUGUCCGAACCACUCAUAGCUAGA
Diospyros lotus (date-plum) is the source of this 1149-nucleotide long non-coding RNA. RefSeq lists it as uncharacterized. The transcript is spliced from 4 exons. The record is from RefSeq and is a predicted model, not a curated record. Lineage: Eukaryota; Viridiplantae; Streptophyta; Magnoliopsida; Ericales; Ebenaceae.